This 978-nucleotide ribosomal RNA is filed under the name uncultured marine bacterium. RNAcentral's name for it is "bacterial SSU rRNA". It matches the Rfam family "Bacterial small subunit ribosomal RNA", at positions 67 to 1042 of the family's 1533-position model. The record is from RNAcentral.
CGAGAAGUAUCUUCGGAUAUGAGUAGAGCGGCGGACGGGUGAGUAACGCGUAGGAAUCUACCUAGUAGAAGGGGAUAGCCCGAGGAAACUCGGAUUAAUACCGUAUACCUCCUUCGGGAGAAAGAAGGCCUCUCUUUGAAGCUUUCGCUAUUAGAUGAGCCUGCGUAAGAUUAGCUUGUUGGUGAGGUAAAGGCUCACCAAGGCGACGAUCUUUAGCGGGUCUGAGAGGACGAUCCGCCACAUUGGGACUGAGACACGGCCCAGACUCCUACGGGAGGCAGCAGUGGGGAAUAUUGGACAAUGGGCGCAAGCCUGAUCCAGCCAUACCGCGUGUGUGAAGAAGGCCCUAGGGUUGUAAAGCACUUUAAGUUGGGAAGAAAAGUUAUUGGUUAAUACCCAAUGACCGUGACAUUACCUUCAGAAUAAGGACCGGCUAAUUCCGUGCCAGCAGCCGCGGUAAUACGGAAGGUCCAAGCGCUAAUCGGAAUUACUGGGCGUAAAGCGCGCGUAGGUGGUUUAUUAAGUUGGAUGUGAAAUCCCCGGGCUCAACCUGGGAACUGCAUCCAAAACUAAUUCACUAGAGUACGAUAGAGGGAGGUAGAAUUCACAGUGUAGCGGUGGAAUGCGUAGAUAUUGUGAAGAAUACCAAUGGCGAAGGCAGCCUCCUGGAUCUGUACUGACACUGAGGUGCGAAAGCGUGGGUAGCGAACAGGAUUAGAUACCCUGGUAGUCCACGCCGUAAACGAUGUCAACUAGCUGUUGGAAAACUAUGUUUUUCAGUGGCGCAGCUAACGUAGUAAGUUGACCGCCUGGGGAGUACGGCCGCAAGGCUAAAACUCAAAUGAAUUGACGGGGACCCGCACAAGCGGUGGAGCAUGUGGUUUAAUUCGAUGCAACGCGAAAAACCUUACCUAUACUUGACAUACUUGGAAUACUUUGUAAUGAAGUAGUGCCUUCGGGAACCAAGAUACAGGUGCU